GCAGAAUACUUUUGGCAGUGGGAGGCAACAUGUAUCACCGAGAUUUCAGCCUCAUCUCAGCGACUGUUAUAAACCAACCCUUUUCACAACUGAACCACCCCUCUUCUCAACCAAAACUGGCUCCACGACCUACAGAUCUACAAUGGCUUCUCCCAAUCCACUUAACUCUCCACCGCCACGUUAUGGUCUGAGGCUUACUCUGCCUCUGUAAAUUUGAAAGAAAAAUGAAGAAUGUGAGCACUUGGUUAGCCUGGUGAAACCUAAUAUGGUAAGGUUAAAGGUGCUUCAUACAAUAACCAGAAGGGUAUAAGAUGUUUUAUUGGAAGAGGACAUGAGAGAAUCGCUGAAGACAAUUAAAAUAGGAAUUCCAGAUUCACCUUCAUUCCUAUAGAGAUUUUGAAGUGAAGUGAGAGGUCUCAUUUUUUUCUCUUCUCUUGAGUGGUGAAGACGAGAGUAAAUCUUUAAGAAAAUAGAAAUGGGUCGUCGAGAUAUGAGACGUGGAGGAGGAGCCAAUCGAUCUUCCAAGAAAAAAUCAUCUGGAUCUGUGGUUUCCGCAAAACACAAGAAAGGAACGUUGAAGAAACUGAGUUUAGCUGAUGAUGAUGAGAGAAUGAAUCGUAAGAAGCAAGAGAUGAUGAUGUGCUACGACUUCCCUUCUUCAGAUUUAGAAAACGAACAUGUCUCUCUAAAGAAGAAGAAGAUGAAAUCUUCUAAGCUUCUAAAAAAGGUUUGAAGUAGAGUAAUGGUGUUGUGCAUCCUCAUGCCUCUGUUCCAAGGAAGCUUCGUUCAGGUCCCUUCUUCAUUUUUUUAUAAAAAAAAUAAAUAAAAAAGGAAUGUUUUUUUUUUUACCAUAUGGUGGAGAGAUCUGUGCAAGUGUUCCUUAUAGAUAGCUGCUAUCACAUCUCCACUUCUUUCAUAAUAGAUAGCUGCUAUCAAGUUUGUACUUCCAUUCAGAUCAAAAUCUGGAACGACUCUCUCUCAGAAGGACAAAUAUGACAUGGUCUUUGUUGUUAGGUGAUAGCAGAUUUAUUUUAAUUGUAUAAUUAUUCCUGUGUUCAUAAUUGAUUAUGCACAAAAAAUUUAAUCACACUUUUGCACUUGGUAUUUCUAACUUUCUGGUGAUAAUACUUAAGGUUUUGGACCUUAUUUGAAAGGAUUAUGUGCAGUGUGGAUUGUGUAUAGUUUCUGAGCAUUUAAUCUGUGCAGUUUGGGAAUGGUACACAUUGGUUUGGAGCAAACGCAUGGCUCAUCAAUCCUUCUACCGCACAGUCAGCAGCAGCGUUUCCGCAUCUCCCUGUCGAGGAUGAGAUACGGGGAAGGAAUGGUGGUGGUCAAAGAAGUGAUGGAAGCUAUGAUUUGGUUCCAUGAGCCAACGAAUUUGUCACUAUCGCAUCUAUGCACUGCAAGUUCCUUAUGUGAGAAGACUAGGAGGUGAUGCAGCUCCUUAUGUAAGAAGCAUACCAAUCCAAAACCAACAUGGAGACGUUGUGAGAGGUGGUUACUUAAGGCAGAGGCCAAGCUGGUGGUGGCAAAGGGAAUUAAGGUGGCCCAUCUAGAGAUUGUCGUGCCUAAAAGUGGGAUUAAAAGUGGAAUAAAAAGCACUAACAUAGUAUUAGGAAGAUCGUGUAGAUAACAAUAGCUGAAGGUUUUCUACAGUUGUGGGUCACACUCCUAUCUCUCUAGGAGCAGCCGGAGCUAAAGUCUUUGUUGCUCAGACUUGUGCAGUGAUCUUUUUCGUAAUUUAGUGGCUACAUGAAAGUUUUUAAUUAAUCAUGUAAGCUAAAGCAAGUGUAGUUUGAAAGAUGCAAGGAAUUAUUAUUCACAA
Brassica napus (rape) is the source of this 1825-nucleotide long non-coding RNA. RefSeq lists it as uncharacterized. NCBI's taxonomy places the organism in Eukaryota, Viridiplantae, Streptophyta, Magnoliopsida, Brassicales, Brassicaceae. The record is from RefSeq and is a predicted model, not a curated record. The transcript has 8 exons.